UGAAAGAAAGGCUAGGAGGGCCCUGAAAAGCUUUGGUCAGGCAAGAUCUGAGGAGGGUCUGAGGGACGGGGAGGAAGUGAGCAGCUCAGCCCCCUCCCAUUUACUGCGAACCAGGUCUGGGGUGUACUGCAAGGAGGAGGGGUCGAGAGAUACUGGAGGAAUUAAGUCACAGGCCUGCCCAGACUCAAGGGGAGGGAACGCUGACUCCACCUCUCACAGGAGAAUGUCAGAGUCUCCUUGGAAGAAGAACAUGGCGGAGGGGAGCUGCUGAGCUGGCCCGGAAGGAUCAGUCCGAGGGACACCUGCCAGUCACCGUCUUCUCCCAGAGAAGGGGACAGACCCGGGGCUGCUGUGCAUGGUGUUCUGUCGGGCAGUGCAAAAGUCCCAGCUGAGGGGUCCAGCAAUCCAGUCCAUGCCCUGCUUGCUGUGCUGUGCAUCUGAGGAUUAUAUCCACCCAGAGAAGGCACUUUAACAACAUUCAUCUGCCAGAAGACAAGCCCCUUUUUCUGACUUGGAUGAAGGUCCAAGGGGUGCAUUCCUCCCCAUAUGUCAAGCUGGAGGGGGCACCUGAUCAACCGCACAUGGGUAGAAGAGGUCCUAUCUGGCACUGUCCCUCCCUUUUCUUUUUGCCUUGAAGGCAAACGCGAUACCUGGAGCAGAGCAGCCUUCUUGUGAUCAUGAAGUAGCAAGCAAGGGAAGAGGCGGACAUGCUCAAGAUAGUGGUGAGGAAACAUGCAAAGAAGGGCUGAUGUCCCUGAGAGCUUGUUAAACAGCCGACCCCACGCCACCAGCUCCCACCUCCAGACUUCUUGUUACAUGAGAAAAGCAAACACCCUCAGGUUCACGUCUCUCUUACUCGCUGCCAAACACACCUUAACGGAGGCAAGAUAUACCUGUGACUGCAGAACAGGGUGCACGAUGCCAAGCGCCCUGAGACAAGCGCAGGAAAGCAAACGUGACAUCUCGGAGGAAAGAGAGCUCAGCCCCGUGUUGCUGGAGGAGUUGGUGUCUGAGAUGAGCCUUGGAGGAAGGCUGGAAUGUUGACUGACAGCGGGGAGGGAAAAGGACUCAGGACAGAGGCAGUGUCCUGGCCAGCUGCAAAAAACCCAAAAACAAAAGCAGAGGCAGCAAGGCAGCACUCACGGGGAGAAGUGGGAGCGGACUCUGGAGGGCGACUGGGAGGUGGAACAAGGAGCCGGCCAGUGACUCUGGGCAUUUGACAGCGUGGAAGCUGGAGGCUCACACAGGUGCCAGCGUGUCCGCUUCCCGGUGCUCUGGGAGUCACUCAUAUGUCUCUACCCCCCUAAGCUCUCUUCCCUGCUGGGACUGGCUUCGUCCACUCUCUCCUGCCCCUGGAGCCGUCCACGACAGCGCCCAGCGAUCUUCGCCUCUUGGUGUUCGUGCCCUUCUACAGCCACCUCCCAGCAGGACACAGCUGGCCUGUGUGACCAGUCGGCCACUGUGGGAUGAAAGCUUCUGACUUCUGAGCCCAGGCCAGGGGCUUGGGAGAGAGCAGACCACCCCAGGAGGUUUGCUGGAGGGAAUACCCCCAAGGUGCAGGCAGGAUGGAGGAAUGGGGGCACUAGGGGGUAGUGACAGAGCGGCUGCCUGGUAAGCCACAGUCGUGGAGGGACGCAGCCACUGCAAGAAGGGGCGUCCCUAAAACAGGGAGGGGGAGGGAGGACUGUCCGACCUCCCCUCCUGCGACCUGACUUCCGGUCAGUGCCUCUCUUUUGCCAAACCCAACCAGCUGACAAAGGAGCUCUUGGGUGCAGCCUCCCAGGGCCUAAAGCAAAUGAGAACAGGACAGAGAAUGGGUGUGGGCGUGGGGCAAAUGGGAUAACCAGGCCACAAGAGAACGUGCAGUCCCCGUACAGAGCUGAAAGACUCAAUAUUGCUCAUGUGCUCCUUCUCAAAUUGAUCUGCAGGGCCACACAGGCCCGCUCACUGUCCCGCUGGCUUUUCUGUAGAAACUGAUAAGCUGAUUCUAAAAUUUCUAUGGAAAUGCAAAGGACUUGAAUAUCUAAACUAAUCUGACAAGAGAACAGAGUUGGAGGACUUGACUUUAGACUUAAACACAAAACCACACUGAUAAAGACAACGUGGUACCAGCAUACAGAUAGACGGUUAAAGCGACAGAGUAGGGAGCCCAGAAAUAGAUCUGCACUUGUACGGUCACUUGGUUUUUGACAGAAGCAUGGGAGCAAUCCAAUGGGGAAGGCAAGUUUUUCCAACAAAUGUUGCUGGAAAAACUGGAUGUUCACAUUGAAAAAGCAAAACCAGGCUGGCUGGAUUAGCUCCCUUGGUUAGAUCAUGGCGUUGAAAACACCAAUGUCAAGAGUUGCGAUCCUUGUACAGGCCAGUUGUAAAAAAAGAAAAAACAAAACAAAUAAAAACUUUUCUUUUCUUUUCUUU
Long non-coding RNA from Cynocephalus volans (Philippine flying lemur), 2415 nucleotides. RefSeq lists it as uncharacterized. The transcript has 4 exons. NCBI's taxonomy places the organism in Eukaryota, Metazoa, Chordata, Mammalia, Dermoptera, Cynocephalidae. The record is from RefSeq and is a predicted model, not a curated record.